Molecule: long non-coding RNA, 522 nt
Filed under: Androctonus crassicauda
Lineage: Eukaryota; Metazoa; Arthropoda; Arachnida; Scorpiones; Buthidae
Source: RNAcentral
ACUGGAACUGUCAACACCAUGGUGAGGCAAAGAAGCAGUUCCCUGAGAAAGUGUUAUUGUCAUCCAUUCAACAAGAACAUAUUGGAGGAAACACAAAAGGCUUACCAGGUUAUCCUCCAAUAUAGAUGGAAGACUAACUAUGACAAGACUUUGCCUGGUGCCUUGAAGGGAUUUUUCAAAACACUGCAUCUUUCACUACCCCUGUGCCACUCAUUCUCAACACGAUACCUUAGUUUGGGUAGAGGUGCUCUUAGUCUGGUCCCUUUCCUUCAACCCAUCUGGCAUGGGAGACUACCAGUAGCAAAGCUACCAUAGGCAUAGUUCUUAGGAUCAUUGGAAUAUGCAAACUCCCUCACUACGACAAGAUAGAGAUAUCAUCAAAGGAGUACUCCUAGGUAUCAUAAUAUCCUAAAACCAAUAAUUUUCGAUUUACAUAUUUAAUUCAUUAUCGUCAAUCUCUGUUCAAUUAUAUUUUUUUAUGAAACUGCUUUGUUGAUAAUUUUAAUUUUUCAGAAUAUUUCG